GGAAAGUUUCUGGUAUUACCGACCGACUGUUUGUUAUUGUUAGUUAGAUUUCCCGACCGACCGUUUGUCAUAAGUUUUCCUGACAAACAAUCGGUCGGCGAUACUGACUUUUUUCAACACCCGUCUGUAAGGAAUGCCGUGUCGUGGUGUAGGGCGGAGGAGCCAUGCUCCAUCAACUCCGACGAGGCCAACCAACGCCGAUCCACAAACCGUCUCUGUCUCCGAAGAAGGCCCCCUGCCCUCUCGUCCCGGUCCACAGGACGCCACGUUGUCGACAGGUAAAGCCGCUCACCGCCAAGUGGAAGGUCGAUCGGAACCAACUGGAUGCCCAGGAGAAGACUACAAGCCCGGCCACCUCACCUCGCACCGUCAGAUCCCAUGUCUCACCAUUACCGUAGUCCGGAUCAAUGUCAACCGUAAGUAGCCGAGCAGGAGCAUCACUGAAAAAGACCGCCCACCUCCUGUGAAACCUCGACCACCCCUCUGCCGACCAAAGGUGGUGCCUUCAAGAAGGAAAACAAAGCCGAUGCGCCAUCACCACCCAACCGGAGACUUUGGGCUUUCACCCAGGUCGCAGAGGAAGAGGGUGCGGGAAGGGCCUCGAUGCCGCCACGAGAGGAGAGCCAUGCCG
RNAcentral lists this long non-coding RNA (631 nucleotides) under Hordeum vulgare. RNAcentral's name for it is "long non-coding RNA (HVUL_LNC002988)". The record is from RNAcentral. Lineage: Eukaryota; Viridiplantae; Streptophyta; Magnoliopsida; Poales; Poaceae.